Molecule: non-coding RNA, 249 nt
Organism: Cinara cedri
Lineage: Eukaryota; Metazoa; Arthropoda; Insecta; Hemiptera; Aphididae
Source: the annotation of a GenBank genome assembly
AAAAGCCAUUUAUAAACGUUGUUUUAUUUCACAUCAGUAUAAUAUGUUCAUUAGACGUUAAAUCACUAAAUAAAGUUUUACCAAGGUCUUUUAUAUGUGUCUUGAUAUUUAGCCUAUCGUUUCCAAUAAAAUAAUUAAAAGUUACAGGAUUUUUACGCUUUUUAAAGGUUAUAUGAGAACAUUUCGAAACAUCAAUAUGUAAUGAAUUUAUUAAACACCAAUUUUCAAAACUUCAGUAAGUCACUUUGU